Molecule: ribosomal RNA, 2933 nt
Filed under: Escherichia coli
Lineage: Bacteria; Pseudomonadati; Pseudomonadota; Gammaproteobacteria; Enterobacterales; Enterobacteriaceae
Description: 23S ribosomal RNA
Rfam family: Bacterial large subunit ribosomal RNA
Source: RNAcentral
GGGUUGUGAGGUUAAGCGACUAAGCGUACACGGUGGAUGCCCUGGCAGUCAGAGGCGAUGAAGGACGUGCUAAUCUGCGAUAAGCGUCGGUAAGGUGAUAUGAACCGUUAUAACCGGCGAUUUCCGAAUGGGGAAACCCAGUGUGAUUCGUCACACUAUCAUUAACUGAAUCCAUAGGUUAAUGAGGCGAACCGGGGGAACUGAAACAUCUAAGUACCCCGAGGAAAAGAAAUCAACCGAGAUUCCCCCAGUAGCGGCGAGCGAACGGGGAGCAGCCCAGAGCCUGAAUCAGUGUGUGUGUUAGUGGAAGCGUCUGGAAAGGCGCGCGAUACAGGGUGACAGCCCCGUACACAAAAAUGCACAUGCUGUGAGCUCGAUGAGUAGGGCGGGACACGUGGUAUCCUGUCUGAAUAUGGGGGGACCAUCCUCCAAGGCUAAAUACUCCUGACUGACCGAUAGUGAACCAGUACCGUGAGGGAAAGGCGAAAAGAACCCCGGCGAGGGGAGUGAAAAAGAACCUGAAACCGUGUACGUACAAGCAGUGGGAGCACAGAGUAAGCUGUGUGACUGCGUACCUUUUGUAUAAUGGGUCAGCGACUUAUAUUCUGUAGCAAGGUUAACCGAAUAGGGGAGCCGAAGGGAAACCGAGUCUUAACUGGGCGUUAAGUUGCAGGGUAUAGACCCGAAACCCGGUGAUCUAGCCAUGGGCAGGUUGAAGGUUGGGUAACACUAACUGGAGGACCGAACCGACUAAUGUUGAAAAAUUAGCGGAUGACUUGUGGCUGGGGGUGAAAGGCCAAUCAAACCGGGAGAUAGCUGGUUCUCCCCGAAAGCUAUUUAGGUAGCGCCUCGUGAAUUCAUCUCCGGGGGUAGAGCACUGUUUCGGCAAGGGGGUCAUCCCGACUUACCAACCCGAUGCAAACUGCGAAUACCGGAGAAUGUUAUCACGGGAGACACACGGCGGGUGCUAACGUCCGUCGUGAAGAGGGAAACAACCCAGACCGCCAGCUAAGGUCCCAAAGUCAUGGUUAAGUGGGAAACGAUGUGGGAAGGCCCAGACAGCCAGGAUGUUGGCUUAGAAGCAGCCAUCAUUUAAAGAAAGCGUAAUAGCUCACUGGUCGAGUCGGCCUGCGCGGAAGAUGUAACGGGGCUAAACCAUGCACCGAAGCUGCGGCAGCGACGCUUAUGCGUUGUUGGGUAGGGGAGCGUUCUGUAAGCCUGUGAAGGUGUACUGUGAGGUAUGCUGGAGGUAUCAGAAGUGCGAAUGCUGACAUAAGUAACGAUAAAGCGGGUGAAAAGCCCGCUCGCCGGAAGACCAAGGGUUCCUGUCCAACGUUAAUCGGGGCAGGGUGAGUCGACCCCUAAGGCGAGGCCGAAAGGCGUAGUCGAUGGGAAACAGGUUAAUAUUCCUGUACUUGGUGUUACUGCGAAGGGGGGACGGAGAAGGCUAUGUUGGCCGGGCGACGGUUGUCCCGGUUUAAGCGUGUAGGCUGGUUUUCCAGGCAAAUCCGGAAAAUCAAGGCUGAGGCGUGAUGACGAGGCACUACGGUGCUGAAGCAACAAAUGCCCUGCUUCCAGGAAAAGCCUCUAAGCAUCAGGUAACAUCAAAUCGUACCCCAAACCGACACAGGUGGUCAGGUAGAGAAUACCAAGGCGCUUGAGAGAACUCGGGUGAAGGAACUAGGCAAAAUGGUGCCGUAACUUCGGGAGAAGGCACGCUGAUAUGUAGGUGAAGUCCCUCGCGGAUGGAGCUGAAAUCAGUCGAAGAUACCAGCUGGCUGCAACUGUUUAUUAAAAACACAGCACUGUGCAAACACGAAAGUGGACGUAUACGGUGUGACGCCUGCCCGGUGCCGGAAGGUUAAUUGAUGGGGUCAGCGCAAGCGAAGCUCUUGAUCGAAGCCCCGGUAAACGGCGGCCGUAACUAUAACGGUCCUAAGGUAGCGAAAUUCCUUGUCGGGUAAGUUCCGACCUGCACGAAUGGCGUAAUGAUGGCCAGGCUGUCUCCACCCGAGACUCAGUGAAAUUGAACUCGCUGUGAAGAUGCAGUGUACCCGCGGCAAGACGGAAAGACCCCGUGAACCUUUACUAUAGCUUGACACUGAACAUUGAGCCUUGAUGUGUAGGAUAGGUGGGAGGCUUUGAAGUGUGGACGCCAGUCUGCAUGGAGCCGACCUUGAAAUACCACCCUUUAAUGUUUGAUGUUCUAACGUUGACCCGUGAUCCGGGUUGCGGACAGUGUCUGGUGGGUAGUUUGACUGGGGCGGUCUCCUCCUAAAGAGUAACGGAGGAGCACGAAGGUUGGCUAAUCCUGGUCGGACAUCAGGAGGUUAGUGCAAUGGCAUAAGCCAGCUUGACUGCGAGCGUGACGGCGCGAGCAGGUGCGAAAGCAGGUCAUAGUGAUCCGGUGGUUCUGAAUGGAAGGGCCAUCGCUCAACGGAUAAAAGGUACUCCGGGGAUAACAGGCUGAUACCGCCCAAGAGUUCAUAUCGACGGCGGUGUUUGGCACCUCGAUGUCGGCUCAUCACAUCCUGGGGCUGAAGUAGGUCCCAAGGGUAUGGCUGUUCGCCAUUUAAAGUGGUACGCGAGCUGGGUUUAGAACGUCGUGAGACAGUUCGGUCCCUAUCUGCCGUGGGCGCUGGAGAACUGAGGGGGGCUGCUCCUAGUACGAGAGGACCGGAGUGGACGCAUCACUGGUGUUCGGGUUGUCAUGCCAAUGGCACUGCCCGGUAGCUAAAUGCGGAAGAGAUAAGUGCUGAAAGCAUCUAAGCACGAAACUUGCCCCGAGAUGAGUUCUCCCUGACUCCUUGAGAGUCCUGAAGGAACGUUGAAGACGACGACGUUGAUAGGCCGGGUGUGUAAGCGCAGCGAUGCGUUGAGCUAACCGGUACUAAUGAACCGUGAGGCUUAACCUUACAACGCCGAAGGUGUUU